RNAcentral lists this non-coding RNA (187 nucleotides) under Garciella nitratireducens. RNAcentral also lists the same sequence under 1 other name. The record is from RNAcentral. Lineage: Bacteria; Bacillati; Bacillota; Clostridia; Eubacteriales; Eubacteriaceae.
AUAGAAUAAGUACAAGUAGGUGCCCAAAAGUUGGGAGAAUAGGGAAUUCAGGUGAAAGUCCUGAGCGGUCCCGCCACUGUAAUUGGAGAGCAUCCUCAAAAGACCACCUCUGUUUUGAGACAGUUGGGAAGGGGAGGAAUUGUGAUGAACCAAGAGCCAGGAGACCUGCCUAUUUGUAUAGCGAUUG